This 101-nucleotide ribosomal RNA is filed under the name uncultured bacterium. RNAcentral's name for it is "partial 16S ribosomal RNA". The record is from RNAcentral.
UCUUCGGAUCGUAAACUCCUGUCAGACGGGACGAAGAGUCGGCGGAAAAUACCUGCCGGCUUUGACGGUACCGUCAGAGGAAGCCCCGGCUAACUCCGUGC